AGAAUAGACGCCUUGAUGGCUCCUCUGGCAGUUCUUGAUGACCAUGGAUGAGCUAAUGGCUGUGGUCUCAAUGGUGGCUUCUUGAGGUUGUAAUUGCAGUGGAAGGGGAGACCAAACAUUCAAAGAUUGCUGAAGAGCCAACGAACUCUGAUUCUGUCAAGAUGAUGUCUUUGAUUUCUUUCACAAACUUCAGUGGCACAGCCUUUAGCUGAUGGUAUUGCCUCUGAAUUUGCUGAUUCAGAAGAUGUCGGACUCAUGUUAUCCUAUAGAAGAUGUAACAACCCAUA
This is a long non-coding RNA of Homo sapiens (human), 287 nucleotides long. Ensembl annotates it as TTN antisense RNA 1. Its record names the gene TTN-AS1. Lineage: Eukaryota; Metazoa; Chordata; Mammalia; Primates; Hominidae. The record is from Ensembl.